RNAcentral lists this ribosomal RNA (1372 nucleotides) under uncultured bacterium. RNAcentral describes it as "bacterial SSU rRNA". It matches the Rfam family "Bacterial small subunit ribosomal RNA", at positions 28 to 1381 of the family's 1533-position model. The record is from RNAcentral.
GAUGAACGCUGGCGGCGUGCCUAAUACAUGCAAGUCGAGCGAACGGACGAGAAGCUUGCUUCUCUGAUGUUAGCGGCGGACGGGUGAGUAACACGUGGAUAACCUACCUAUAAGACUGGGAUAACUUCGGGAAACCGGAGCUAAUACCGGAUAAUAUUUUGAACCGCAUGGUUCAAAAGUGAAAGACGGUCUUGCUGUCACUUAUAGAUGGAUCCGCGCUGCAUUAGCUAGUUGGUAAGGUAACGGCUUACCAAGGCAACGAUGCAUAGCCGACCUGAGAGGGUGAUCGGCCACACUGGAACUGAGACACGGUCCAGACUCCUACGGGAGGCAGCAGUAGGGAAUCUUCCGCAAUGGGCGAAAGCCUGACGGAGCAACGCCGCGUGAGUGAUGAAGGUCUUCGGAUCGUAAAACUCUGUUAUUAGGGAAGAACAUAUGUGUAAGUAACUGUGCACAUCUUGACGGUACCUAAUCAGAAAGCCACGGCUAACUACGUGCCAGCAGCCGCGGUAAUACGUAGGUGGCAAGCGUUAUCCGGAAUUAUUGGGCGUAAAGCGCGCGUAGGCGGUUUUUUAAGUCUGAUGUGAAAGCCCACGGCUCAACCGUGGAGGGUCAUUGGAAACUGGAAAACUUGAGUGCAGAAGAGGAAAGUGGAAUUCCAUGUGUAGCGGUGAAAUGCGCAGAGAUAUGGAGGAACACCAGUGGCGAAGGCGACUUUCUGGUCUGUAACUGACGCUGAUGUGCGAAAGCGUGGGGAUCAAACAGGAUUAGAUACCCUGGUAGUCCACGCCGUAAACGAUGAGUGCUAAGUGUUAGGGGGUUUCCGCCCCUUAGUGCUGCAGCUAACGCAUUAAGCACUCCGCCUGGGGAGUACGACCGCAAGGUUGAAACUCAAAGGAAUUGACGGGGACCCGCACAAGCGGUGGAGCAUGUGGUUUAAUUCGAAGCAACGCGAAGAACCUUACCAAAUCUUGACAUCCUUUGACAACUCUAGAGAUAGAGCCUUCCCCUUCGGGGGACAAAGUGACAGGCGGUGCAUGGUUGUCGUCAGCUCGUGUCGUGAGAUGUUGGGUUAAGUCCCGCAACGAGCGCAACCCUUAAGCUUAGUUGCCAUCAUUAAGUUGGGCACUCUAAGUUGACUGCCGGUGACAAACCGGAGGAAGGUGGGGAUGACGUCAAAUCAUCAUGCCCCUUAUGAUUUGGGCUACACACGUGCUACAAUGGACAAUACAAAGGGCAGCGAAACCGUGAGGUCAAGCAAAUCCCAUAAAGUUGUUCUCAGUUCGGAUUGUAGUCUGCAACUCGACUACAUGAAGCUGGAAUCGCUAGUAAUCGUAGAUCAGCAUGCUACGGUGAAUACGUUCCCGGGUCU